Molecule: long non-coding RNA, 1195 nt
Organism: Bombus terrestris (buff-tailed bumblebee)
Lineage: Eukaryota; Metazoa; Arthropoda; Insecta; Hymenoptera; Apidae
Exons: 2
Source: RefSeq, a predicted model, not a curated record
GGACGUCGAGCAUAGGACGCGGGCGACGCGGCUCGUCGCCGAUUUUGAACGACUGCCUCCCCUCUCCGCUGUCGCGCCGAUCGCCGUUGCGCCGAUCGUCACUGCGCAGAAGCGAAACGCGCCCCCACCACUGACCACGGCUAGCAACCCCUACCCCUUUUGCACCUGCAACCCUUCCGUCGGUUUCCAAGUUACGUCAUUCGACUCCGGGACUCCGGCGGUCGUGGUCCAACGCUUCCGCUUCCGGUUCUCCCAGUCACGAGGCACGCUCCUUGCUUCACCAACAGCUGGACCUUGAUUACGAAGAAGCGAUCGUUCUCCGGAUAUUCGUCCUGUAAACGCUCUUUAUGCUUUUGAUUGUUGCUCAGAAAGCCUUGAUUACGAUAUUGGCUUUCGGGCAAUAAUCAUAAUCACGAAAGGGCAGAACCUCGACUCUGCCUGUUGCCGAUGGCACCUGUUACUUCGAGACACAGCGCAAUUUCAGAUUUCGUUUCUUCUCCACGAUCGCGAAUUCUACGAUUAAGGAAGAAACUGUUCUUCCACUGAAGCGUAUAUAUCAAGAAUAUUUAUUAGUGACGCGCGAAGAUUAUUAUCCGAAAUAAUUCCAACUAAUAUCAGAACGUGACAAGUCAAAGGAAACGGUACAACAAAACGUUGUCGAUCUAAUAAGCUUUUGGAAAAUGAAGCGAAAAAUCUUCUGCACACCACUGAACGUAAUUAGAAUUGUAACGAUAGUUACAUUAUUAUUAUUAUUGUAUCAGUAGUAUUAGUAUUACUUGUAUACAUUCUAUAGUGCGUUAUCAAUAUAUGUCCAUCAAUAUGUUGCAUGUAUUUAAUAAUAUGUCAAUAUUAUUUGUAUAAGCUCUUCUAUCGUUACAAACUCAGGCUCUAGUUACAACGUAUAUAUACAUAUAUGUGUAUGCGUGUGUGUGGGCGUGUAUGGGCGUAUAAAAACGUUCUUAAUUUCUCCUACAAAUAUUAUAUAAUAGAGAAACCGAUAUUACUCUGCUUUCAUAGUUUUUGUUAUAAAUCCAUCGUUUUAGAAAUCCAAUGAAUACCAGGUUGAUUAAAGCACAAAAGAAAGUGGAAAGGCGAAAGGAAUUGGUUUUAAAGCCUGCAGGCAUUUAAGUUGAAAACAAAUUGAUGCCGUUUGCUGCUGUAGAUCUGCGUCGGAAUAAAAAUAACUAAAAGAAAA